AGAGUUUGAUCAUGGCUCAGAACGAACGCUGGCGGCGUGGAUAAGACAUGCAAGUCGAACGCUGAUCACAGGGUAGCAAUAUUCUGUGGUCGGAGUGGCGCAAGGGUGCGUAACACGUGGGUAAUCUGCCAUAAAGUUUGGGAUAACUCGCUGAAAGGCGAGCUAAUACCGGAUGUGAUCAUUGGAAGGCAUUUUUUGAUGAUUAAAGCUGGGGACCGUAAGGCCUGGCGCUUUUUGAUGAACCCGCGGCCUAUCAGCUAGUUGGUGAGGUAACGGCCCACCAAGGCUAAGACGGGUAGCUGGUCUGAGAGGACGACCAGCCACACUGGAACUGAGACACGGUCCAGACACCUACGGGUGGCAGCAGUCGAGAAUUUUUCACAAUGGGCGCAAGCCUGAUGGAGCGACGCCGCGUGGGGGAUGAAUGGCUUCGGCCCGUAAACCCCUGUCAUUUGCGAACAAACCUUGCUAUUUAAAAGAUGGUAAGCUGAUUGUAGCGAAAGAGGAAGGGACGGCUAACUCUGUGCCAGCAGCCGCGGUA
Molecule: ribosomal RNA, 541 nt
Filed under: uncultured Verrucomicrobiota bacterium
Lineage: Bacteria; Pseudomonadati; Verrucomicrobiota
Description: bacterial SSU rRNA
Rfam family: Bacterial small subunit ribosomal RNA
Source: RNAcentral